GACGAACGCUGGCGGCGCGCCUAACACAUGCAAGUCGAACGGAAUCAAGAGGAGCUUGCUUUUCUUGAUUUAGUGGCGAACGGGUGAGUAACGCGUGAGUAACCUGCCCUGGAGUGGGGGACAACAGUUGGAAACGACUGCUAAUACCGCAUAAGCCCACGGUGCUGCAUGGCACUGCGGGAAAAGGAUUUAUUCGCUCUAGGAUGGACUCGCGUCCAAUUAGCUAGUUGGUGAGGUAACGGCCCACCAAGGCGACGAUUGGUAGCCGGACUGAGAGGUUGAACGGCCACAUUGGGACUGAGACACGGCCCAGACUCCUACGGGAGGCAGCAGUGGGGGAUAUUGCACAAUGGGGGAAACCCUGAUGCAGCGACGCCGCGUGGAGGAAGAAGGUUUUCGGAUUGUAAACUCCUGUCGUUAGGGACGAUAAUGACGGUACCUAACAAGAAAGCACCGGCUAACUACGUG
Molecule: ribosomal RNA, 468 nt
Filed under: uncultured bacterium
Lineage: Bacteria
Description: bacterial SSU rRNA
Rfam family: Bacterial small subunit ribosomal RNA
Source: RNAcentral